Long non-coding RNA from Ipomoea nil (Japanese morning glory), 153 nucleotides. RefSeq lists it as uncharacterized. The record is from RefSeq and is a predicted model, not a curated record. The transcript has 2 exons. NCBI's taxonomy places the organism in Eukaryota, Viridiplantae, Streptophyta, Magnoliopsida, Solanales, Convolvulaceae.
GAUUCACCGACUUGUUGAACCCAUCUCACUACCCUCGCUGCAAUGCCACCUAAUCUCAAGCCUCAAAGCCUGCGAUAGAUGAAAAUAAAAAAUCAGCUUUGUGAUUUUUCUGGAAUUAAACUUAGGAAAUCAGGGGCAAAAACCCAAAAAAAA